RNAcentral lists this transfer RNA (83 nucleotides) under Candidatus Mcinerneyibacteriota bacterium. RNAcentral's name for it is "tRNA-Tyr". It matches the Rfam family "tRNA". From Rfam's summary of the family: Transfer RNA (tRNA) molecules are approximately 80 nucleotides in length. Lineage: Bacteria; Candidatus Macinerneyibacteriota. The record is from RNAcentral. RNAcentral also lists the same sequence under 1 other name.
GGAGGGAUGCCCGAGUGGUUAAAGGGGGCAGACUGUAAAUCUGUUGCCAGCCGGCUACGAAGGUUCAAAUCCUUCUCCCUCCA